This 253-nucleotide ribosomal RNA is filed under the name uncultured bacterium. Its description in RNAcentral is "partial 16S ribosomal RNA". It matches the Rfam family "Bacterial small subunit ribosomal RNA", at positions 524 to 776 of the family's 1533-position model. The record is from RNAcentral.
UACGGAGGGGGCGAGCGUUAUUCGGAAUUAUUGGGCGUAAAGCGCGCGUAGGCGGUUACUUAAGUCGGAUGUGAAAGCCCUCGGCUUAACUGAGGAAGUGCACCCGAAACUGAGUAGCUAGAGUGCGAAAGAGGGUCGCGGAAUUCCCGGUGUAGAGGUGAAAUUCGUAGAUAUCGGGAGGAACACCGGUGGCGAAGGCGGCGACCUGGGUCGAGACUGACGCUGAGGCGCGAAAGCGUGGGGAGCAAACAGG